CUGAAAGGUGAAGGACCCGGUCUUCGGACUGGGAGCGUACACAGGUGCUGCAUGGCUGUCGUCAGCUCGUGUCGUGAGACGUUGGGUUAAGUCCCGCAACGAGCGCAACCCUUGCCUUUAGUUGCCAGCAGUUCGGCUGGGCACUCUAAAGGGACUGCCGGUGUUAAACCGGAGGAAGGUGGGGAUGACGUCAAGUCCCCAUGGCCUUUAUGACCAGGGCGACACACGUGCUACAAUGGCCGGCACAACGGGAAGCGAGUUCGCGAGGACGAGCGGAUCCCUCAAAGCCGGUCGCAGUUCGGAUUGAAGUCUGCAACUCGACUUCAUGAAGCUGGAAUCGCUAGUAAUCGUGGAUCAGCCAAGCCGCGGUGAAUACGUUCCCGGGCCUU
RNAcentral lists this ribosomal RNA (389 nucleotides) under uncultured Synergistaceae bacterium. RNAcentral describes it as "bacterial SSU rRNA". It matches the Rfam family "Bacterial small subunit ribosomal RNA", at positions 1001 to 1382 of the family's 1533-position model. The record is from RNAcentral. Lineage: Bacteria; Thermotogati; Synergistota; Synergistia; Synergistales; Synergistaceae.